RNAcentral lists this ribosomal RNA (463 nucleotides) under uncultured bacterium. RNAcentral's name for it is "partial 16S ribosomal RNA". It matches the Rfam family "Bacterial small subunit ribosomal RNA", at positions 28 to 507 of the family's 1533-position model. The record is from RNAcentral.
GACGAACGCUGGCGGCGUGCUUAACACAUGCAAGUCGAACGGAAAGGCCCUGCUUUUGUGGGGUGCUCGAGUGGCGAACGGGUGAGUAACACGUGAGUAACCUGCCCUUGACUUUGGGAUAACUUCAGGAAACUGGGGCUAAUACCGGAUAGGAGCUCCUGCUGCAUGGUGGGGGUUGGAAAGUUUCGGCGGUUGGGGAUGGACUCGCGGCUUAUCAGCUUGUUGGUGGGGUAGUGGCUUACCAAGGCUUUGACGGGUAGCCGGCCUGAGAGGGUGACCGGCCACAUUGGGACUGAGAUACGGCCCAGACUCCUACGGGAGGCAGCAGUGGGGAAUAUUGCACAAUGGGGGAAACCCUGAUGCAGCGACGCCGCGUGGAGGAAGAAGGUCUUCGGAUUGUAAACUCCUGUUGUUGAGGAAGAUAAUGACGGUACUCAACAAGGAAGUGACGGCUAACUACGUG